RNA transcript from Chionomys nivalis (European snow vole), 5355 nucleotides. It is a transcript of the gene named zinc finger protein 25-like, with no coding region annotated. The transcript has 7 exons. Lineage: Eukaryota; Metazoa; Chordata; Mammalia; Rodentia; Cricetidae. The record is from RefSeq and is a predicted model, not a curated record.
UUGGGACCUGUCGUCAGGUACUGCCCCCUAUCAGGAGGCCCUUCCUGGACACUUUGUGCUGACGUCUGUGGCCUGGUGCCUCGGUGGUGCGGGGAGAGACAGAGUGAGGACUCGGGAUGCUCGGGAAGCUGGAGAUGGGAUCAGUGUCAUUUGAGGACGUAGCUGUGGACUUCACGUGGCAGGAGUGGAAGAAGCUGGAUGUUGCUCAGAGGACGCUCUACAGGGAUGUGAUGCUGGAGAACUACAGCAGCCUGGUGUUCGUGGGGCACUGCACAGCCAAACCUGAGUUGAUCAUUAAGUUGGAGCAUGGAUUUGGGCCUUGGAGUAAAGCAGAAGCCUCAGUCUGGAACUUUCCAGAUGUUCGAAAAGCACAUGUUCCAAUUGAGACCAUCCAGGAAAAUGAAGAGAGACAUUUGUGUGAAGAGAAAACCACCACCAGCAAUAUAUCUAACGAAGAAGGGGCUGAAGCACAACUAAAGGUUCAACAGAAAAUGCACCAAGGGGAAAAGCCAGAUUCUUGUGUGGAAACAUCCCGCAAAAGGCCGCAGCACAAGAAGACUCACACGUGUGGGAAACACUAUGACUGUGGGGACUGUCAUGAAGCUAUCCAUGGUAAGUCACCACCCACAGAACACCAGAGAACGCAGACUAAAGAGAAGACCUAUGAGUGCAAAGAAUGCCGGAAAGAGUUCUACCACAAGUCACAUCUCUUUCGACAUCAGAAAACUCAUACAGGCAAGAAGCCCUUUGAAUGUGAUGAAUGCCAAAAAGCUUUCUGCCACAAGUGCCAUCUCGUCCAGCACCAGAGAAUUCACACCGGGGAGAGGCCCUUUGAGUGUAAAGAGUGUAAGAAAGCCUUCCGCCGCAAGUGGCUUCUGACUCUACAUCAGAGGACUCACACAGGAGAGAAGCCUUAUGGGUGCAAAGAGUGCAGGAAAGCCUUCUUCUACAAGUCCCAUCUCACUCGACACCAGAGAACCCACACAGGCGAGAAGCCCUACCAAUGUGAGGAGUGCAAGAAAGCUUUCUGGCAGAAAUCAAACCUUACUGCACACCGGAGAAUCCAUACCGGUGAGAAGCCCUAUGAAUGUAAAGUGUGCAAGAACGCUUUCUACAACAAGUCCAACCUCACUCUGCAUCAGCGAACUCACACGGGCGAGAAGCCCUAUCAGUGUAAAGAGUGCUGGAAAGCUUUCUACAGCAAAUCAAAACUCAGCCGCCAUCAGACGACUCACACAGGUCACUGCUUCUGUCAACUCCAAUCCGCCAUGGGAGGAAACUUCCUCUUUACAGUAGUGUACCACAGAGCCUCAUAACCACCUGAACUCCUGAGACUAAGUGACUGUUGUGACAUUCUGAUCCAAUGCUCAAUCUCAGAUGGAGGAAAAUAAUCAGACACCUAUGUCAUCCAUCUAAGCCUCAGGGAAUGUUCUGGAAGAGGUGGCUUGAAAGAAUGAAAAAUCAAAAACAGCAUAUGAAGAUGAACCCACUGAACCUGAACUACAUCAGAAUCUGCCCACAGUUUGGAGAAGGAGUCAACACCCUACUGAUCACAUCCAUUGCUAGAGAGAUGUCGGUAUAUGUCUUAGGGAUUCUGUUCCUGUGAAGAGACACCAUGACCAGAGCAACUCCUAUAAAGGAAGACAUUUGAUGGGGUGGCUUACAGUUCUAGAGGUUUAGUCCAUUAUCACCAUGGUGGGACAUGAUGACGAGCAAGUAGACAUGGUGCUGUAGUUGAGAAUCCUGCAUCUUGAUUGGCAGGAAAGAGGAAGUGAACUGAAGCACUGGAUGAGGCUUGAGCACAUAUGAGACCUCAAAGCCUGCCACACUGUGAUGCACGUCCUCCAACAAAGCCACACCUACUCCAACAAUGAUAAUGCCUCUCCCUCUGAGCUUAUGGGAACCAAUUACAUUCCAACUACCACAGUAUAUAACAUUUACUCAUUCCAAAUCAGCUUAGUAAACAGUCAGCACCAUGUUUUACCAGUAAAUAAUUAGUAGCAGUUCAUGUUUUGUUUAAAAUUCCUUCAUUUUCUCCUAACAGAAUAGCCAUGUUUUAAAGUAUUAACUCUUCUCAUUAGUUCUUUUUAUGCUCACCUAUCUAUCUAUCUAUCUAUCUAUCUAUCUAUCUAUCUAUCUAUCUAUCUAUCAUCUCUCCAUUUGUUCCUGUCACUGAGUCAGAGGUACAGCCUGAGUCAUGGAGCUUGGAAAGAAACUUGAGACAAGCAUGCUUGGGUCUGAAGUAGUUGGGCCAAUUAUUAUUCUUUUAAAAAAUGCUGCAAGAUCCCCGCGGCAGUAGGCAGCAGAAAUGCUGUAGGUCCCAAAUGGUGGUAAUGGGCCAUGUGGUGGCAGGCAGCGGGCUCUGGGAGCAGCCAGUCCCAGGCAGAAAUGGCUGCCGGUCCCUGAGCAGUGGCUGGUCCCAGGCAGGGAGACACAUGGCAGGCGGGCAGGAGACAGAGACAUGGAUAGACACGACAUGCAGGGUGAGGUUGAAUAUUUAUUCAGGGGAGAGAGAGAGAGAGAGAGAGAGAGAGAGAGAGAGAGAGAGAGAGAGAGAGAGAGAGAGAGAGAAGAGGAGAAAGAGACAGAGAAGGGGGGAAGCAGAGAAGUGGGGAGAGAGGCAGAAGCGAAGCUGCCUCUCCGAGAGGAAGAUGGAAAAGAGAGUGAGCUCAGGCGAGAAGCUGAAAAUCAGCCUGCCUCAGCAGAUGGGGGAGGGAGUGGGCGUGGCUUGUCUCUUAAAGAGACAGAAAACCAUAACACCAAUCCCAUCUGAGAGUCAGCUUUUCAGAGAACUAAAACAGCAUGUGCCUGUAUACAUUUUAAAUAUUAUCUGUGCCCAAAGGGCAUUUAAAAGAAACAUCUAAGGACCCAGAAAGUGAUGACAUCUGUGUCUUUACAAUUAAAAAGUAUAAACAAAAGCAAGGAUGUUCAUGCUUGGUAAAGCAGAAGCAAAGGCAGACAACAGGCAUAAGGCAAGGAGACCCAAGAACACGAAGGCUAUCCUAUAGCAGAGCCAGCAGGCUUGGAGACUCAAUGUUGCUGCAGGCUCCUAUGUAAUCUUUUCAAAUGCCUUUAGCUGUUUGAACAUUUAGCUGUUGACAUUCUCUGCUAACAUUGUCAAAGGCCAGCAUUUCUAUAAUAUCUGAGAUCAGAUUGAAAACCCACCUUUUCAUGUCACCAAAUCCUGAAAUGAAGGAAUUCAGCAGGUUUAAACAAGUUCUGGCCAACUAGCCCCAGUCAUGGGGGAUCAGUUGCUGCAUUUCAGCUAUCCCACUCAACAAUCCCAUCAUACAUGGAGAUGUAGCUCUGUAAGUGGAGAUGACUUGUUUAAAAUCACUAAGUAUCUAAUACACAAUAGGCUUCUAUUCUGCCCACAUUCCCCUCUUAGAAAAAUUAUCACCAACUCUGAGUCUAAAGGGUUAGAAAUGUACCGGUACUUCAAGGUGCCACAGAUAGUAUGGCUCCAGAUCCUCUUGCUUUUGAGCUAACUGAGUUCUAGGGUUAGUCCAGAAACACCAACUGUAGGGAUGCAGAGGAAUGGAUGAUUAGCAGAGAACUUUUCAUCUUCUGAAUGAUCAACAGAGUCAGAAGACUGAUCAAGGGAGCCAAAGGAGGAAGGCAGGGCCCCAUUACAUCAUCUUAUUUCCUUCUGAAGGAGCUAUCUGCCCUGUGGUGUCUCCUUGUGCCAAUAGGGCAGUAGUCAUUUGCAAUGGCCAGAUACUAAGGUGAAAAAGCCACAAGGACAAGACAUUGAAUGGGAUCCCCUAGAUUUGCUGAGGAGCCUGUCUACAAACAUAAACACCUUCCCAUUGCUUCCUGGGCAAUGCUCCCAGUAACAGAAGUAACAGUAUUUGUCUCUAUAUUCUGACAGGUCAUAGAAAUCUCAAUUUUGUACUUUCUAGUGGAAUGCUUUUAGCAUUGCUUACCAUAUGCACACAUGGCCUGCCCUUUGCUCUGGCAUCCAGGAGUGGGACCCUAGCAUCCUUUAUAAUCUUGUUUAUACUUUCUUAUUGCAUUAAAAAGUUCCCAUAUUUUAGUUUCAUCCUUUAACCAAAAGAUUGAAACUCUUAAACUAUUAUACCUACUAUUUGGCUGUUUGCUUUACCAUGAAUUUUCUAUUUUAAAAUUAUUAAGAAUGUGAGUACAAAAAAUCAGCUCUGAAUCAAUAAGAAUAAUAUAACCUACUUAUGGGAGACUACCAUAUCAAAACUUAAAUUCAAAUUAUAUGCAAAUUAGUUAAAAUUCUGGAGCUUGGGUAUGUCAUGAACAAUGCCCAUGCGUCAAAAUAGCUUCCUCACAAAACAUCGUACUUGAUGUCAUCGAGUAUAUUAAAGAAUUUAGAGCUUUUAGAGCUAUGAUAGAGCUGAGGGAUUUGCGCAGUUCACAGAGACUGACCUAGCAUGCCAGAGAUCCUGGAUCUGUUCCCCUUGACUAUACACCCACAGCAGGGGUGGGGUUGGAGGUGUACCUCUAGUCAGCAUUUCAGAGGCUGAAGCAGGAGGACACAGAGAUGUUGCUCUAACCAUCUCCUCAGCCUUCCUGGAAACUACAGCUCAUAAAAAAUAAAGGUACAUGUUUGUUCUUUUAGCUCGUUUAUUUGUCUUUUUUCGUUUGACAUAGGGUCUUUUGCUAUAGCUCCUGUAAUUCACUAUGUGGACCAGACUGACCUCACACUCACAGACAUCAGUCUGCUUUGGCAUCCCCAGUGCUGGGAAUAAAGGUGUGGUCACCAUGCCUGACUCUACGAGCUUUAUUCAUUUGUCCUUCAAUUUCUUUUUAAUUUAAGUUUUUUGCUUUUUAUGUCUAUGAGUUUUUUUGUGUAUAUUUGUGGACCACAUGCCUGCCUGGUACCUUCAAGGACAAGAAGAAUGUGAUGAUGAAGAUUAUGUUUAGAGGAUAAUUUGAGACAUCCUGGGCAAUAUAGCCAGCCCUUGUCUCAAACACAGAAAGAAACCUACACCCAGGCUGGGGUUGUCCAGUUCAAAUGACAGAGCAGAGUAGGGGAUAACUUUCCUAAACCAGGAUAGGUGAGAAUGGGGAAACUGGGAGGCAAACCCUGAUCAUACACAACAGGGACACUUGUUUGCGGGAAUGAUGUGGCUUCACUGGGUAAGCACUUACUUGGAUGGAGGUUCUCAUGCAACCUAAACUGGCCUUGAGCUCCUGAUCCUCCUGCUGUAGCCUCCCAAGUUCUAGGAUGACACAGUGCCCUGCUAUGUCCAGCUUCAGGGUUACUUCCCACAGUGUCUGCAAGCAAUCAAGAUUCCAGGAAUAAGUGCAUUGCAAUAAACCAAGCCUCCAUCUCUGGGGGACUUGAGGUCCUCUCAUAAGCAGUAAGAGCUACUUGGGAUGAUG